This is a long non-coding RNA of Felis catus (domestic cat), 1498 nucleotides long. RefSeq lists it as uncharacterized. The record is from RefSeq and is a predicted model, not a curated record. Lineage: Eukaryota; Metazoa; Chordata; Mammalia; Carnivora; Felidae. The transcript is spliced from 3 exons.
CAACAUAGAUGGAUCUUGAGGACAUUAUGCUAAGUGAAAUAAGUCGCACCGAGAAAGACAGGUCAUGGGAUAAGUUCCUUGUUGAAGUUGCACUGAAAAGAAAAGGACUUCAUUGAGCCAGUAGCAGUGACUCCGUUAGUGAUCGUGAAAGUCGUCCUGCACAAUAACCCUCCUCUCUUGUCUGCCUCACGCCAGCUGUGAAGGUUUUCAAAGAUUUUUUUAUUAUGAGCACGGGGUACUUUGUGAUGGGGCACAACACCAAAGUUAUUACCACGUUGAAGCAAAACACCCGUUAGCAGCAACGGAAAAAGAUCUUUCCACGAUUAAGUGCUGGAGCUCCAGGACCGCACUGGAGACCACUGAAUCCAGCCCCCACCUCACUUCGGAAGAAAUGAACGUUAGAAUUAACAUCAGCUGUGAUGACCAACUGUUUUGGAAAACAGGCCAGAUGGUGUGCAUCUCCCCUCGCUGGUGUGCUUUGAGAGGGUAUUAUUGGAUUUCUUAGAGCAGCAAUUACAGAACAUCUUUGGAGCUAGGUCAUUGCAGUUACCUUCUAGCAAAGAUGCAAGGUAUUUAAAAAACUUCUCACCAUCCCAUUUGUCUUUGUCAUACAGAAUGCAUUUGUCCAAAGGAUUUCUUGUUUAUAUCCUUGAUGUGUUUUUUUCUUAGACAGGAUGCAUUGAAUUUUGCAACCACAUCCUUCCUCAUUUGAGUAGCUGAUCAUGCGGGGAACAGAGCCUGAUUAAUCUGCAAUUUGCACAGGUGAAUCUCGUGAUUACAUAUGUCCGCAGGCAGUUGGGCUCCGUGGUCAAUGGCACAACGAGGAUAGAUAGCAAACGAAAAUCGCCUCGCAAGGCAAAUAGCAUUGCCAGAGUUUUCUAAGAAACCAGUGUACUGAUGGUGCACCACAUGUCCAGACUUUUAAUUGGCCAAACCUGAGUAAUCUCUUUAUUUUUAUAGCCAAAAGGAGAAGUCCACGGCAAGGACCUCAUUCCCACACCUAUUACCUUGUGUUUUUAUUGUAAAGUUAGAAACAAAACCCAAGCCAACGUAGGUUAGUAAUCCUCCCUCAACGUUUCAUCUUCCACCCACCAAUUAUUCUUAUUGUGGGUUUUCCCUGCCACACGUGUUCUGAAUCUUGGAGGCCCCGAGAUGCUAAGUUAGACACAGUUUUUGACUGGCAGCAGUUCAACAGGUAUGUUUCAAACACCUAGUAGAGUGGUCUUCGGUCGUUCGAGUUCAGGGCUUCGUAAAUCCUGGAAUUCAGUGUGGCAUAUGUGAAAAGGACUAAGAGUUAAAUUCCAGUUCAUCCUUAAAGUUUCAGGACAUUUUGUAAAUGUGCAGGUAUCACGACACAGUGGACUCACAUCUUAAUCGGGGGUCCUGUUUUGAAGUCUGUGCUAAGGUGGAAAUCAUUUGUUCCACUUUAUUUAUUUUUUAAUCUUUUUUAAAAAAAGUUUAUUUUGAGAGAGAGAGAGAGAGAGAGCUCGAGUGGGGA